AAGUCGUAACAAGGUUUCCGUAGGUGAACCUGCGGAAGGAUCAUUAUUGAAUAAACGUGGUUGGGUUGUUGCUGGCUUCUAGGAGCAUGUGCACGCUCACUCCAUUUUUAACCACCUGUGCACCUUGUGUAGAUCUGAACAAAUCUCGGGGAAACUCGGUCAGAGAAUUGCUGUGUGUUUAAAAAGCCAGCUUUUCUUGGGUUCAGAUCUAUGUCUCUAUAUACACCAUAUGAAUGUAUUCGAAUGUAAUUGAUAGGCGUUACAGCCUCUAAAAUCAAAUACAACUUUCAACAACGGAUCUCUUGGCUCUC
RNAcentral lists this unclassified non-coding RNA (311 nucleotides) under Entoloma abortivum. RNAcentral's name for it is "partial internal transcribed spacer region". The stretch from base 1 to 46 matches the Rfam family "Eukaryotic small subunit ribosomal RNA", at positions 1786 to 1831 of the family's 1831-position model. Lineage: Eukaryota; Fungi; Basidiomycota; Agaricomycetes; Agaricales; Entolomataceae. The record is from RNAcentral.